GGUCAAGCGAAUAAGUGCAUGUGGUGGAUACCUUGGCAC
This 39-nucleotide ribosomal RNA is filed under the name Ralstonia solanacearum. Its description in RNAcentral is "partial 23S ribosomal RNA". The record is from RNAcentral. Lineage: Bacteria; Pseudomonadati; Pseudomonadota; Betaproteobacteria; Burkholderiales; Burkholderiaceae.